CACCGGCAGCUCUAGUGGUAGCAGUUUUUAUUGGGCCUAAAGCGUCCGUAGCCGGUUUAAUAAGUCUCUGGUGAAAUCCUGCAGCUUAACUGUGGGAAUUGCUGGAGAUACUAUUAGACUUGAGAUCGGGAGAGGUUAGAGGUACUCCCAGGGUAGAGGUGAAAUUCUGUAAUCCUGGGAGGACCGCCUGUUGCGAAGGCGUCUGACUGGAACGAUUCUGACGGUGAGGGACGAAAGCUAGGGGCGCGAACCGGAUUAGAUACCCGGGUAGUCCUAGCUGUAAACGAUGCGGACUUGGUGUUGGGGUGGCUUUGAGCUGUCCCAGUGCCGAAGGGAAGCUGUUAAGUCCGCCGCCUGGGAAGUACGGUCGCAAGACUGAAACUUAAAGGAAUUGGCGGGGAGCACCACAACGCGUGGAGCCUGCGGUUU
Molecule: ribosomal RNA, 429 nt
Filed under: uncultured archaeon
Lineage: Archaea
Description: bacterial SSU rRNA
Rfam family: Archaeal small subunit ribosomal RNA
Source: RNAcentral